CCCUUCGAUGUUCUGGGCCGCACGCGCGCUACACUGAUCGGGUCAACAAGUUUACAACCUGCUCCGAGAGGACUGGGUAAUCUUUUGAAACCCGAUCGUGAUAGGGAUAGAUGAUUGCAAUUAUUUGUCUUGAACGAGGAAUGCCUAGUAGGGUCGGUUCAACAGAUCGACCCGAUUACGUCCCUGCCCUUUGUACACACCGCCCGUCGCUCCUACCGAUUGGGUGAUCCGGUGAAUAAUUCGGACCUGCGAGCCUUGCGGUUCGCUGCUUGGCUUGUGGGAAAGUCUAGUGAACCUUAUCACUUAGAGGAAGGAGAAGUCGUAACA
RNAcentral lists this ribosomal RNA (327 nucleotides) under uncultured eukaryote. Its description in RNAcentral is "partial 18S ribosomal RNA". It matches the Rfam family "Eukaryotic small subunit ribosomal RNA", at positions 1470 to 1796 of the family's 1831-position model. The record is from RNAcentral.